AGUGAACGCUGGCGGUAGGCCUAACACAUGCAAGUCGAGCGGCAGCACAGUAAGAGCUUGCUCUUACGGGUGGCGAGUGGCGGACGGGUGAGGAAUACAUCGGAAUCUACUUUUUCGUGGGGGAUAACGUAGGGACACUUACGCUAAUACCGCAUACGUCCUACGGGUGAAAGCAGGGGAUCUUCGGACCUUGCGCGAUUGAAUGAGCCGAUGUCGGAUUAGCUAGUUGGCGGGGUAAAGGCCCACCAAGGCGACGAUCCGUAGCUGGUCUGAGAGGAUGAUCAGCCACACUGGAACUGAGACACGGUCCAGACUCCUACGGGAGGCAGCAGUGGGGAAUAUUGGACAAUGGGCGCAAGCCUGAUCCAGCCAUACCGCGUGGGUGAAGAAGGCCUUCGGGUUGUAAAGCCCUUUUGUUGGGAAAGAAAAGCAGCAGGUUAAUACCCCGCUGUUCUGACGGUACCCAAAGAAUAAGCACCGGCUAACUUCGUG
This 492-nucleotide ribosomal RNA is filed under the name uncultured bacterium. RNAcentral's name for it is "partial 16S ribosomal RNA". It matches the Rfam family "Bacterial small subunit ribosomal RNA", at positions 29 to 507 of the family's 1533-position model. The record is from RNAcentral.